UGGGGAAUUUUGCGCAAUGGGGGAAACCCUGACGCAGCAACGCCGCGUGGAGGAUGAAAUAUCUUGGUAUGUAAACUCCUUUCGAUAGGGAAGAUUAUGACGGUACCUAUAGAAGAAGCCCCGGCUAACUUCGUGCCAGCAGCCGCGGUAAUACGAGGGGGGCAAGCGUUGUUCGGAAUUAUUGGGCGUAAAGGGUGCGUAGGCGGUUUGAUAAGUCUGGUGUGAAAUCUUUGGGCUCAACCCAAAGUCUGCACUAGAAACUGUCGGGCUUGAGUAUGGGAGAGGUGAGUGGAAUUUCCGGUGUAGCGGUGAAAUGCGUAGAUAUCGGAAGGAACACCUGUGGCGAAAGCGGCUCACUGGACCAUUACUGACGCUGAUGCACGAAAGCUAGGGGAGCAAACAGGAUUAGAUACCCCUGUAGUCC
This 424-nucleotide ribosomal RNA is filed under the name uncultured bacterium. RNAcentral's name for it is "bacterial SSU rRNA". It matches the Rfam family "Bacterial small subunit ribosomal RNA", at positions 355 to 796 of the family's 1533-position model. The record is from RNAcentral.